UACGAUUUCUAAAUCUAUGGUUCUAAGACACUUCUAAAUAUUGAUAUUAAUUCACUCUUUUUAGCCGUUUCGUUUGUGAUUUACUCCUUUGGACACUGCCCAUAAUAUGUGGCAAAGUGCGUUGUGUUGUGUAUCAAAAUGCCAACUAUAAAUGUUAUAAUGUGCAGUGCAGUUCGCUGAGAAGCAAAAAUCAGCCUUAUUUAACAUUUCAUAGGAUGCCAAGGAAUGAGAAGUUGAGACAAAAGUGGUUAAAUGUUAUUGGGAUCGAAAACAUAAAUCCACGACACAAACAAUGGUUUGUCUGUUCUCUACAUUUUGAAGAAAACAGUUUUAAUAAAACAUUAGAUGUAACAAGGCUACGGGAAAAUGCAAUACCAACCCAAAAUUAAAAUAUAAUAUAUAAAAAAGCAACUGUUGAGUUUCAUGCCGGCUCUUAGCAGAACCUGAAUUCCGAACCGGCGGCAGGCCUGGCUCACUCCGCGUUUUAAGAAAAACGUAUAAGUACAAUGUACCCUGCACCCCUACGUCGCGGCGAAUUCAGGCGAGAGUCGCGCGCCGCUCGUUUAAUCGAAUAUUAUUAACCAAAACAUUUUUUUAUAUUUUUUAUAAUAUAUUUUUUUUUAUAUUUGUAAAUUAAAAUUUGUUAAUAACCUUG
Molecule: long non-coding RNA, 655 nt
Organism: Bicyclus anynana (squinting bush brown)
Lineage: Eukaryota; Metazoa; Arthropoda; Insecta; Lepidoptera; Nymphalidae
Exons: 3
Source: RefSeq, a predicted model, not a curated record